This 22-nucleotide microRNA is filed under the name Melibe leonina. RNAcentral describes it as "mle-miR-1992-5p". Lineage: Eukaryota; Metazoa; Mollusca; Gastropoda; Nudibranchia; Dendronotidae. The record is from miRBase by way of RNAcentral.
CGUCAGUGGUCAAUUGCUCUGG